UUCAGAAAAGAUUGACUUCAAGAAUUCUACCACCUGGUUUGACACAUUGAAAUUCACUUCACUUACCACAAUAACAACCAAGACAAGAAUAAAGGCCCAGAGAAGGACCAAUGCUCACAUAACUGACAGGUCUUCGUGCCAAAUUUGAACACGGAUCUAGUCACCCUUCAACAGCACUGACCUUGGAAUGUUCUAUGAAGACAGUGGUUGCCAUGUUACUGUUGCCUGCCAAGCACCAUAAUUAGAGACCCAUGGCUUCUGACAGGUCUGGCACAGCUGAUGAC
Molecule: non-coding RNA, 284 nt
Organism: Castor canadensis (American beaver)
Lineage: Eukaryota; Metazoa; Chordata; Mammalia; Rodentia; Castoridae
Source: RefSeq, a predicted model, not a curated record